GACGAACGCUGGCGGCGUGCUUAACACAUGCAAGUCGAACGGUAAGGCCCUGCUUUUGUGGGGUGCUCGAGUGGCGAACGGGUGAGUAACACGUGAGUAACCUGCCCUUGACUUUGGGAUAACUUCAGGAAACUGGGGCUAAUACCGGAUAGGAGCUCCUGCUGCAUGGUGGGGGUUGGAAAGUUUCGGCGGUUGGGGAUGGACUCGCGGCUUAUCAGCUUGUUGGUGGGGUAGUGGCAUACCAAGGCUUUGACGGGUAGCCGGCCUGAGAGGGUGACCGGCCACAUUGGGACUGAGAUACGGCCCAGACUCCUACGGGAGGCAGCAGUGGGGAAUAUUGCGCAAUGGGCGGAAGCCUGAUGCAGCAACGCCGCGUGCGGGAUGACGGCCUUCGAGUUGUAAACCGCGUUCGCCUGUGACGAAGCGUGAGUGACGGUAAUGGGUAAAGAAGCACCGGCUAACUACGUG
RNAcentral lists this ribosomal RNA (468 nucleotides) under uncultured bacterium. Its description in RNAcentral is "partial 16S ribosomal RNA". It matches the Rfam family "Bacterial small subunit ribosomal RNA", at positions 28 to 507 of the family's 1533-position model. The record is from RNAcentral.